UAAGGAAUAUUGGUCAAUGGACGAAAGUCUGAACCAGCCAUGCCGCGUGGAGGAUGAAGGUCCUCUGGAUUGAAACUUCUUUUAUCUGGGACGAAAAAAGGUCUUUCUAGAUCGUCUGACGGUACCAGAUGAAUAAGCACCGGCUAACUCCGUGCCAGCAGCCGCGGUAAUACGGAGGGUGCAAGCGUUAUCCGGAUUCACUGGGUUUAAAGGGUGCGUAGGUGGGUUGGUAAGUCAGUGGUGAAAUCUUCGAGCUUAACUCGGAAACUGCCAUUGAUACUAUCAGUCUUGAAUAUUGUGGAGGUUAGCGGAAUAUGUCAUGUAGCGGUGAAAUGCUUAGAUAUGACAUAGAACACCAAUUGCGAAGGCAGCUGGCUACACAUAUAUUGACACUGAGGCACGAAAGCGUGGGGAUCAAAACAGGAUUAGAUACCCUGGUAGUCCACGCCUAAACUAUGGAUACUCGACAUACGCGAUACACUGUGUGUGUCUGAGCGAAAGCAUUAAGUAUCCCCACCUGGGAAGUACAUCGCAAGA
Molecule: ribosomal RNA, 537 nt
Filed under: uncultured bacterium
Lineage: Bacteria
Description: partial 16S ribosomal RNA
Rfam family: Bacterial small subunit ribosomal RNA
Source: RNAcentral